RNAcentral lists this ribosomal RNA (253 nucleotides) under uncultured bacterium. RNAcentral describes it as "partial 16S ribosomal RNA". It matches the Rfam family "Bacterial small subunit ribosomal RNA", at positions 524 to 776 of the family's 1533-position model. The record is from RNAcentral.
UACAGAGGUCUCAAGCGUUGUUCGGAUUCAUUGGGCGUAAAGGGUGCGUAGGCGGCGCGGUAAGUCGGGUGUGAAAUCUCGGGGCUUAACUCCGAAACUGCAUUCGAUACUGCCGUGCUUGAGGACUGGAGAGGAGACUGGAAUUUACGGUGUAGCGGUGAAAUGCGCAGAUAUCAGGAAGAACACCAAUGGCGAAAGCAGCUCUCUGGGACGGUACUGACGCUGAAACGCGAAAGCGUGGGGAGCGAACAGG